RNAcentral lists this ribosomal RNA (407 nucleotides) under uncultured Saprospiraceae bacterium. RNAcentral describes it as "bacterial SSU rRNA". It matches the Rfam family "Bacterial small subunit ribosomal RNA", at positions 305 to 709 of the family's 1533-position model. Lineage: Bacteria; Pseudomonadati; Bacteroidota; Saprospiria; Saprospirales; Saprospiraceae. The record is from RNAcentral.
CAGCCACACGGGCACUGAGACACGGGCCCGACUCCUACGGGAGGCAGCAGUAAGGAAUAUUGGUCAAUGGACGCAAGUCUGAACCAGCCAUGCCGCGUGAAGGAUUAAGGUCCUCUGGAUUGUAAACUUCUGUUAUCUGGGACGAAAAAAGGCGAUUCUUCGUCACUUGACGGUACCAGAUGAAUAAGCACCGGCUAACUCCGUGCCAGCAGCCGCGGUAAUACGGAGGGUGCAAGCGUUAUCCGGAUUCACUGGGUUUAAAGGGUGCGUAGGCGGGUAGGUAAGUCAGUGGUGAAAUCCUGGAGCUUAACUCCAGAACUGCCAUUGAUACUAUCUAUCUUGAAUAUUGUGGAGGUAAGCGGAAUAUGUCAUGUAGCGGUGAAAUGCUUAGAUAUGACAUAGAACAC